UACAGAGGGUGCGAGCGUUGUUCGGAAUUAUUGGGCGUAAAGGGCGCGUAGGCGGUGCCACAAGUCACUUGUGAAAUCCCCGGGCUUAACUCGGGGCCUGCAGGCGAAACUGUGGUGCUGGAGUAUGGGAGAGGUGCGUGGAAUUCCCGGUGUAGCGGUGAAAUGCGUAGAGAUCGGGAGGAACACCCGUGGCGAAGGCGGCCAUCUGGACCAGCACUGACGCUGAGGCACGAAAGCGUGGGGAGCAAACAGG
RNAcentral lists this ribosomal RNA (253 nucleotides) under uncultured bacterium. Its description in RNAcentral is "partial 16S ribosomal RNA". It matches the Rfam family "Bacterial small subunit ribosomal RNA", at positions 524 to 776 of the family's 1533-position model. The record is from RNAcentral.